Long non-coding RNA from Etheostoma cragini (Arkansas darter), 98 nucleotides. RefSeq lists it as uncharacterized. Lineage: Eukaryota; Metazoa; Chordata; Actinopteri; Perciformes; Percidae. The transcript has 3 exons. The record is from RefSeq and is a predicted model, not a curated record.
AACCAAAAAGUUGAAAAUAAAUUAGAAUUUAGACCCAGAAAAACCAAAAGUUGCAUGGUCGACAGGAAGACAAACCAAGGUUAAUCGUUUACGACUAA